Molecule: non-coding RNA, 58 nt
Organism: Salmo salar (Atlantic salmon)
Lineage: Eukaryota; Metazoa; Chordata; Actinopteri; Salmoniformes; Salmonidae
Source: Rfam
UAGCUCUGUUGGUAGAGCAUGGUGUUUGCAACGCCAGGGUUGUGGGUUCGAUUCCCAC